CAGGGGCAUGUGCCUCGGUUGGGGGCACAUCCCCAGUGGGAGGUGCAGGAGGCUGUUGAUCAAUGUUUCUCUCUCAUCGAUGUUUCUAACUCUCUAUCCCUCUCCCUUCCUCUCU
Molecule: long non-coding RNA, 115 nt
Organism: Pipistrellus kuhlii (Kuhl's pipistrelle)
Lineage: Eukaryota; Metazoa; Chordata; Mammalia; Chiroptera; Vespertilionidae
Exons: 2
Source: RefSeq, a predicted model, not a curated record